GGGGAGCAGCCCAGAGCCUGAAUCAGUGUGUGUGUUAGUGGAAGCGUCUGGAAAGGCGCGUGAUACAGGGUGACAGCCCCGUACACAAAAAUGCACAUGCUGUGAGCUCGAUGAGUAGGGCGGGACACGUGGUAUCCUGUCUGAAUAUGGGGGGACCAUCCUCCAAGGCUAAAUACUCCUGACUGACCGAUAGUGAACCAGUACCGUGAGGGAAAGGCGAAAAGAACCCCGGCGAGGGGAGUGAAAAAGAACCUGAAACCGUGUACGUACAAGCAGUGGGAGCACGCUUAGGCGUGUGACUGCGUACCUUUUGUAUAAUGGGUCAGCGACUUAUAUUCUGUAGCAAGGUUAACCGAAUAGGGGAGCCGAAGGGAAACCGAGUCUUAACUGGGCGUUAAGUUGCAGGGUAUAGACCCGAAACCCGGUGAUCUAGCCAUGGGCAGGUUGAAGGUUGGGUAACACUAACUGGAGGACCGAACCGACUAAUGUUGAAAAAUUAGCGGAUGACUUGUGGCUGGGGGUGAAAGGCCAAUCAAACCGGGAGAUAGCUGGUUCUCCCCGAAAGCUAUUUAGGUAGCGCCUCGUGAAUUCAUCUCCGGGGGUAGAGCACUGUUUCGGCAAGGGGGUCAUCCCGACUUACCAACCCGAUGCAAACUGCGAAUACCGGAGAAUGUUAUCACGGGAGACACACGGCGGGUGCUAACGUCCGUCGUGAAGAGGGAAACAACCCAGACCGCCAGCUAAGGUCCCAAAGUCAUGGUUAAGUGGGAAACGAUGUGGGAAGGCCCAGACAGCCAGGAUGUUGGCUUAGAAGCAGCCAUCAUUUAAAGAAAGCGUAAUAGCUCACUGGUCGAGUCGGCCUGCGCGGAAGAUGUAACGGGGCUAAACCAUGCACCGAAGCUGCGGCAGCGACGCUUAUGCGUUGUUGGGUAGGGGAGCGUUCUGUAAGCCUGUGAAGGUGUACUGUGAGGUAUGCUGGAGGUAUCAGAAGUGCGAAUGCUGACAUAAGUAACGAUAAAGCGGGUGAAAAGCCCGCUCGCCGGAAGACCAAGGGUUCCUGUCCAACGUUAAUCGGGGCAGGGUGAGUCGACCCCUAAGGCGAGGCCGAAAGGCGUAGUCGAUGGGAAACAGGUUAAUAUUCCUGUACUUGGUGUUACUGCGAAGGGGGGACGGAGAAGGCUAUGUUGGCCGGGCGACGGUUGUCCCGGUUUAAGCGUGUAGGCUGGUUUUCCAGGCAAAUCCGGAAAAUCAAGGCUGAGGCGUGAUGACGAGGCACUACGGUGCUGAAGCAACAAAUGCCCUGCUUCCAGGAAAAGCCUCUAAGCAUCAGGUAACAUCAAAUCGUACCCCAAACCGACACAGGUGGUCAGGUAGAGAAUACCAAGGCGCUUGAGAGAACUCGGGUGAAGGAACUAGGCAAAAUGGUGCCGUAACUUCGGGAGAAGGCACGCUGAUAUGUAGGUGAAGUCCCUCGCGGAUGGAGCUGAAAUCAGUCGAAGAUACCAGCUGGCUGCAACUGUUUAUUAAAAACACAGCACUGUGCAAACACGAAAGUGGACGUAUACGGUGUGACGCCUGCCCGGUGC
RNAcentral lists this ribosomal RNA (1586 nucleotides) under Escherichia coli. Its description in RNAcentral is "partial 23S ribosomal RNA". It matches the Rfam family "Bacterial large subunit ribosomal RNA", at positions 292 to 1869 of the family's 2925-position model. Lineage: Bacteria; Pseudomonadati; Pseudomonadota; Gammaproteobacteria; Enterobacterales; Enterobacteriaceae. The record is from RNAcentral.